Molecule: ribosomal RNA, 492 nt
Filed under: uncultured bacterium
Lineage: Bacteria
Description: partial 16S ribosomal RNA
Rfam family: Bacterial small subunit ribosomal RNA
Source: RNAcentral
AGUGAACGCUGGCGGUAGGCCUAACACAUGCAAGUCGAACGGCAGCACAGUAAGAGCUUGCUCUUACGGGUGGCGAGUGGCGGACGAGUGAGGAAUACAUCGGAAUCUACUUUUUCGUGGGGGAUAACGUAGGGAAACUUACGCUAAUACCGCAUACGACCUACGGGUGAAAGCAGGGGAUCUUCGGACCUUGCGCGAUUGAAUGAGCCGAUGUCGGAUUAGCUAGUUGGCGGGGUAAAGGCCCACCAAGGCGACGAUCCGUAGCUGGUCUGAGAGGAUGAUCAGCCACACUGGAACUGAGACACGGUCCAGACUCCUACGGGAGGCAGCUGUGGGGAAUAUUGGACAAUGGGCGCAAGCCUGAUCCAGCCAUACCGCGUGGGUGAAGAAGGCCUUCGGGUUGUAAAGCCCUUUUGUUGGGAAAGAAAAGCAGCAGGUUAAUACCCCGCUGUUCUGACGGUACCCAAAGAAUAAGCACCGGCUAACUUCGUG